This 1709-nucleotide unclassified non-coding RNA is filed under the name Leishmania donovani. Its description in RNAcentral is "gene:unknown". The record is from RNAcentral. Lineage: Eukaryota; Euglenozoa; Kinetoplastea; Trypanosomatida; Trypanosomatidae.
GCGCUGGGCACGCGUUGUCAGGUACCCCGCUUCCCUGGCGUGUUGUUCGUAGCGCCAACGCCGUGGAUCGCAGACGGCGUUGUGUGCGCGCGUGUUUGCACGGCCUGCGAGACUCUGCGCGGAGUGGCGGCAUGUGCCCCGACUUCGUUGCGGCGUGAACAGAAAGAAGGCAACAUAGUAUUAUUUCUCUUUGCUGUACUCUGCCAGACCCCUCCCUUCCUUCCCCUUGCCACCGGCCGACCCACGCGCACGCGGAGGCUCCUAUUGUUUUCAGUUGGCAUCUUGCGAAUCCCCGUGCAUGCGGCUUCACUGUUGCCCAGCAGCGGAGGAGGACGUACCCACGCCGCAUCGCAGCGCAUUCGUCUCUUCAGCCCUCUUGGCGUGGCUCUCUCUCCAUGUGCCGCUCGCAACCUUUGGCGAUUCGCCGGAUCGCGUGUGAGGGCGGAAGUGAAGCGUUGGAGGAUCUGGAGGAGGAUCUGGGUUUUGUAGAGGUGGUCGAAAGGGCUGCCACCGGUGCACGACCCGUCACAAGCGGGGCGGGGCGCCACUGUUGGUACUAAGCCCAGCCUUCUUUUAUUCUGCUUUUCUUCUCCGCUUGGAUGGCGGCUCUUCCGAGGCCGUAGAUGACCUAGCGACUGCUGCUGUGUACCUCUGCAUCUGCGGGCGCACGCGCUUUCAUAGCAAGACCCUGAGAGCUUGUGGCGACGCCAGCUGAGCGGCCUCACCUUCGCUUGCGCGGGCAGGGCUCAGCACGCUUUCGGUUUUCGCUUUCCGUGUUGCUUUCGUAUUGUUGCGUAGCCGUGACGACAAGGUGACCAGAGGAUGUCCGGGCUACACGAGCGAAGCGGGGCCGCAGAUUCACACAUAUACGAAAAAUUGGGCAAAGGAAGAGCACACUGGCAAGUAGAAGGAGGAGCGAAGCGAACAAUCCCUGUACCCUCUGUCUGCCUCCGCAUCCGGUGUGAAUUCUUGUGUGCUUAUGUAUGCUUGUCUGCGUGUGUCGGUGCUCUGCUUUCGCGGUCUCGCAGAAAGUCAGGAACGCGCACCUUUUCUCUUCUCCGUUUUCUCUUCUCCUUUUUUUGUCUCACCGUCUCCCUCUGACAUGCCAUCACCUCCUGUGUGGUUUACUUCUUUUUCUUUUUGCUCUGUGGGGUUUGGGUGAAACCCAAGCAUCCUCUUCAUCCAUCAUAACUACUGCCGCCCCUUCCUCCUUCCUCUUCUUCGUCUUCCCUCCCUUUAUCCCCAGUCGCCUGUGCGCUGGAUGAUGCACUGAAAACAGUGCAACCCUUCCCUCCCCCCUUUCACCCGGACGAAAUGUGCAACCUCUCGUGUAGUGACACAGCGAUGCAUGCUACAUCAAGCCAGAAAAUGCUUAUACAUCUGCUGUCACACGUGAAACACCCGGACAGGGAUCUUAUACGGACGCAGCACUGCAACGACAAGAAAUGCAGCAGGUCAGGCGGCGCGCACAUCAUACGUGAGGCACGGAGCGCUGAGGGCAAGUCUGCUCGCAUGCCUUUUUUUUGUUUUGCUCCCUGGAAGGGGUGACGAGGGCGCUGUGUUCUCCCAACCGUGCUCUCGCUUGGACGGCUGUUUCUCCUCCCUCCUCUCCUCACCUCCCCCCACCUCUCUCCCUGCCCCCCACCUCUCUGCGUCUCUCUGCUGUUUUCUCCUUUGCCGCCCUUUCCGAUGAAUCCGACACGCCAAAG